This 443-nucleotide ribosomal RNA is filed under the name uncultured bacterium. Its description in RNAcentral is "partial 16S ribosomal RNA". It matches the Rfam family "Bacterial small subunit ribosomal RNA", at positions 338 to 795 of the family's 1533-position model. The record is from RNAcentral.
CCUACGGGAGGCAGCAGUGGGGAAUAUUGGGCAAUGGAGGAAACUCUGACCCAGCAACGCCGCGUGAAUGAUGAAGGUCUUCGGAUUGUAAAGUUCUUUUCUAAGGGAAGAAGAAGGUGACGGAACCUUAGGAAUAAGCCUCGGCUAACUACGUGCCAGCAGACGCGGUGAUACGUAGGAGGCGAGCGUUAUCCGGAAUGACUGGUCGGAAAGGGGGCGUAGGUGGUUUGGCAAGUUAGUAGCGAAACUCCAUGGGUCAACCUUAGAACUACUACUAAAACUGUUGGACUUGAGUGCAGGAGGGGCAACCGGAAUUACUAGUGUAGCGGUAGAAUGCGUAGAUAUAAGGAGGAACACCAGUGGCGAAGGCGGGUUGCUAGACUGUAACUGACACUGAGGCACGAAAGCGUGGGGAGCAAACAGGAUUAGAUACCCGAGUAGUC